UUAAAGCAAAGGAUCAACCAGAAUAGAAAGAGAGCAAAAAGGAACAAAACGAUGAUCAGAAAGCACUAAAAUAUCCAGCAGUGGCACAGCACUUAGAGUUUCACACGUUUGAAAAUGCAGCUUCUGUAAAACGCGUCUUCGAAGAUAUCGUAAAACGAGAAGCAACCCGUUUCUCGCAAUCUCGCUACCCCCAGCAACGGGUGUUCCGCAAUAGGUGCUGCUUUCAGGUGCGAGAAGGGCAUCGAAAACCUUUCACGUCUGGCCAAUACUAGAUACACGCUACUUCACUCCCGUACAAGACUAGUGCCGCGCGUCUAUUCUUACACUAUUCUGUACUACUGCGAUUCCGCCGCUCUAACCGGAUAUUCGAAUCAAUGGUA
This is a non-coding RNA of Linepithema humile (Argentine ant), 380 nucleotides long. Lineage: Eukaryota; Metazoa; Arthropoda; Insecta; Hymenoptera; Formicidae. The record is from RefSeq and is a predicted model, not a curated record.